GGAAGGAAAUGCACCCUUGCCACAGAUAUCUCCAUGCUACUUGAGGAUUAAAGACGGCAACUUACCCGUUUCAUAUAUUAAAAAGUAUCUAGUGCAAAAGCUGGGUCUUGCUACCGAGGCUGAGGUAGAGAUCUCACUACAUGGCCAGCCGGUUCUUUCUACAUUGCAGCUGCAUCAUUUGGUGGACUGGUGGUUGCAGAUGGCACCAUCAUCUGAAAGAAUACAGACAAGCGUUGGCAGCUCAGCGAAAGAAUUUGUGAUGGUUCUGUCAUAUGGUAGAAAAACUCAACCUCCAUGAAAUAUUUGCACCAUGAACGUGAAUGGCAUCACUGAAUUUCAGUCCAAAUUUGGAGUCUUCAUUGUGUAUAUACACAGGUUAAGUUUGCUAUGACCUGUAGUGCAUAACCUGUUCUUUUGCAAAUAUUGGAAUUUUUUUUUUCGUCUUUUCUGUUCAACUUAACUUUGUUUGCAAGUAAAGGGUAUGGAAAUU
RNAcentral lists this unclassified non-coding RNA (490 nucleotides) under Hevea brasiliensis (rubber tree). The record is from RNAcentral. Lineage: Eukaryota; Viridiplantae; Streptophyta; Magnoliopsida; Malpighiales; Euphorbiaceae.